This 253-nucleotide ribosomal RNA is filed under the name uncultured Pseudomonas sp. RNAcentral describes it as "partial 16S ribosomal RNA". It matches the Rfam family "Bacterial small subunit ribosomal RNA", at positions 99 to 355 of the family's 1533-position model. Lineage: Bacteria; Pseudomonadati; Pseudomonadota; Gammaproteobacteria; Pseudomonadales; Pseudomonadaceae. The record is from RNAcentral.
CGGACGGGUGAGUAAUGCCUAGGAAUCUGCCUGGUAGUGGGGGACAACGUUUUGAAAGGAACGCUAAUACCGCAUACGUCCUACGGGAGAAAGCAGGGGACCUUCGGGCCUUGCGCUAUCAGAUGAGCCUAGGUCGGAUUAGCUAGUUGGUGAGGUAAUGGCUCACCAAGGCGACGAUCCGUAACUGGUCUGAGAGGAUGAUCAGUCACACUGGAACUGAGACACGGUCCAGACUCCUACGGGAGGCAGCAGU